CGAACGCUGGCGGCGCGCCUAACACAUGCAAGUCGAACGAGCGAGAGAGAGCUUGCUUUCUCAAGCGAGUGGCGAACGGGUGAGUAACGCGUGAGGAACCUGCCUCAAAGAGGGGGACAACAGUUGGAAACGACUGCUAAUACCGCAUAAGCCCACGACCCGGCAUCGGGUAGAGGGAAAAGGAGCAAUCCGCUUUGAGAUGGCCUCGCGUCCGAUUAGCUAGUUGGUGAGGUAAUGGCCCACCAAGGCGACGAUCGGUAGCCGGACUGAGAGGUUGAACGGCCACAUUGGGACUGAGACACGGCCCAGACUCCUACGGGAGGCAGCAGUGGGGAAUAUUGCACAAUGGGGGAAACCCUGAUGCAGCGACGCCGCGUGGAGGAAGAAGGUCUUCGGAUUGUAAACUCCUGUUGUUGAGGAAGAUAAUGACGGUACUCAACAAGGAAGUGACGGCUAACUACGUGCCAGCAGCCGCGGUAAAACGUAGGUCACAAGCGUUGUCCGGAAUUACUGGGUGUAAAGGGAGCGCAGGCGGGAAGACAAGUUGGAAGUGAAAUCCAUGGGCUCAACCCAUGAACUGCUUUCAAAACUGUUUUUCUUGAGUAGUGCAGAGGUAGGCGGAAUUCCCGGUGUAGCGGUGGAAUGCGUAGAUAUCGGGAGGAACACCAGUGGCGAAGGCGGCCUACUGGGCACCAACUGACGCUGAGGCUCGAAAGUGUGGGUAGCAAACAGGAUUAGAUACCCUGGUAGUCCACACUGUAAACGAUGAUUACUAGGUGUUGGAGGAUUGACCCCUUCAGUGCCGCAGUUAACACAAUAAGUAAUCCACCUGGGGAGUACGACCGCAAGGUUGAAACUCAAAGGAAUUGACGGAAGGG
This 878-nucleotide ribosomal RNA is filed under the name uncultured bacterium. RNAcentral describes it as "bacterial SSU rRNA". It matches the Rfam family "Bacterial small subunit ribosomal RNA", at positions 30 to 921 of the family's 1533-position model. The record is from RNAcentral.